CUUGUGUUUCAGUGACCGGGCAUUAUCACCCCGCCACAGUCGGCAACAAGGCCGCAGGGAUUGGUCGGUUCAGCCCGGAGCCCGGCCUCCUCCUCCUGCUGGGAUUGGCUGUCCAUCACCUCUGGAACUGAUGGGGGCGGAGCCACAGACACGACUCACCUGCUGAUGUUACUUCCUGCUGCUUCUCAGCGUCUGAUUGGUCGACUGAUCAGCUGAUGUUUCCAUGACGUUAUAUUAAUGCUUUUAUUUUGUAAUAAAUAACUUCACUGACUUUUGA
This is a long non-coding RNA of Notothenia coriiceps (black rockcod), 277 nucleotides long. RefSeq lists it as uncharacterized. Lineage: Eukaryota; Metazoa; Chordata; Actinopteri; Perciformes; Nototheniidae. The record is from RefSeq and is a predicted model, not a curated record. The transcript is spliced from 3 exons.